GUGGGGAAUAUUGGACAAUGGGCGCAAGCCUGAUCCAGCAAUGCCGCGUGAGUGAAGAAGGCCUUAGGGUUGUAAAGCUCUUUCACCCGUGAAGAUGAUGACGGUAGCGGGAGAAGAAGCUCCGGCUAACUCCGUGCCAGCAGCCGCGGUAAUACGGAGGGGGCUAGCGUUGUUCGGAAUUACUGGGCGUAAAGCGCGCGUAGGCGGCGCAUGGAGUUAGGCGUGAAAGGCCUGGGCUCAACCCAGGGACUGCGCUUAAUACUGAUGUGCUGGAGUCCGGGAGAGGGUGGUGGAAUUCCCAGUGUAGAGGUGAAAUUCGUAGAUAUUGGGAAGAACACCGGUGGCGAAGGCGGCCACCUGGCCCGGUACUGACGCUGAGGUGCGAAAGCGUGGGGAGCAAACAGGAUUAGAUACCCGGGUAGUCC
RNAcentral lists this ribosomal RNA (425 nucleotides) under uncultured bacterium. RNAcentral describes it as "bacterial SSU rRNA". It matches the Rfam family "Bacterial small subunit ribosomal RNA", at positions 354 to 796 of the family's 1533-position model. The record is from RNAcentral.